This 301-nucleotide ribosomal RNA is filed under the name uncultured bacterium. RNAcentral describes it as "partial 16S ribosomal RNA". It matches the Rfam family "Bacterial small subunit ribosomal RNA", at positions 509 to 807 of the family's 1533-position model. The record is from RNAcentral.
CAGCAGCCACGGGAACACAGAGGGUGCGAGCGUUAAUCGGAUUUACUGGGCGUAAAGCGUGCGUAGGCGGCUUCUUAAGUCGGAUGUGAAAUCCCUGAGCUUAACUUAGGAAUUGCAUUCGAUACUGGGAAGCUAGAGUAUGGGAGAGGAUGGUAGAAUUCCAGGUGUAGCGGUGAAAUGCGUAGAGAUCUGGAGGAAUACCGAUGGCGAAGGCAGCCAUCUGGCCUAAUACUGACGCUGAGGUACGAAAGCAUGGGGAGCAAACAGGAUUAGAUACCCCAGUAGUCCCUGUCUCUUAUAC